This 432-nucleotide unclassified non-coding RNA is filed under the name uncultured Mycena. Its description in RNAcentral is "sequence contains ITS2". The stretch from base 1 to 154 matches the Rfam family "5.8S ribosomal RNA". Lineage: Eukaryota; Fungi; Basidiomycota; Agaricomycetes; Agaricales; Tricholomataceae. The record is from RNAcentral.
AACUUUUAACAAUGGAUCACUUGGCUCUCCCAUCGAUGAAGAACGCAGCGAAAUGCGAUAAGUCAUGUGAAUUGCAGACUUCAGUGAAUCAUCGAAUCUUUGAACGCACCUUGCGCACUUUGGUAUUCCGAACGGCAUGCCUGUUUGAGAGUCAUUAAAUUCUCAACCCAAAAAGCUGUUACUAGCUCUUUUUGUGGCUUUGAUGUGGGGGUUUUUGCUGGCUUCCUUCAGUGGAUGGUCUGCUCCCCUUAAAUGCAUUAGUGGGAUCUCUUGUGGACCGUCACUUGGUGUGAUAAUUAUCUAUACCACGUUGACUUUGAAGCAAAACUUAUGGGAACCCGCUCAUAACCGUCUUCGGACAACUCUUGACAUUUUGACCUCAAAUCAGGUAGGACUACCCGCUGAACUUAAGCAUAUCAAUAAGCGGAGGCU